RNAcentral lists this ribosomal RNA (497 nucleotides) under uncultured bacterium. RNAcentral's name for it is "partial 16S ribosomal RNA". It matches the Rfam family "Bacterial small subunit ribosomal RNA", at positions 28 to 507 of the family's 1533-position model. The record is from RNAcentral.
GAUGAACGCUGGCGGCGUGCCUAAUACAUGCAAGUCGAGCGAACAGAUGAGGAGCUUGCUCCUCUGACGUUAGCGGCGGACAGGUGAGUAACACGUGGAUAACCUACCUAUAAGACUGGGAUAACUUCGGGAAACCGGAGCUAAUACCGGAUAAUAUAUUGAACCGCAUGGUUCAAUAGUGAAAGACGGUUUUGCUGUCACUUAUAGAUGGAUCCGCGCCGCAUUAGCUAGUUGGUAAGGUAACGGCUUACCAAGGCAACGAUGCGUAGCCGACCUGAGAGGGUGAUCGGCCACACUGGAACUGAGACACGGUCCAGACGCCUACGGGAGGCAGCAGUAGGGAAUCUUCCGCAAUGGGCGAAAGCCUGACGGAGCAACGCCGCGUGAGUGAUGAAGGUCUUCGGAUCGUAAAACUCUGUUAUUAGGGAAGAACAAAUGUGUAAGUAACUAUGCACGUCUUGACGGUACCUAAUCAGAAAGCCACGGCUAACUACGUG